CAGCAGCCGCGGGAAUACGUAGGGUGCAAGCGUUAAUCGGAAUUACUGGGCGUAAAGCGUGCGCAGGCGGUCCGCUAAGACAGAUGUGAAAUCCCCGGGCUUAACCUGGGAACUGCAUUUGUGACUGGCGGGCUAGAGUAUGGCAGAGGGGGGUAGAAUUCCACGUGUAGCAGUGAAAUGCGUAGAGAUGUGGAGGAAUACCGAUGGCGAAGGCAGCCCCCUGGGCCAAUACUGACGCUCAUGCACGAAAGCGUGGGGAGCAAACAGGAUUAGAUACCCGUGUAGUCCCUGUCUCUUAUAA
Molecule: ribosomal RNA, 301 nt
Filed under: uncultured bacterium
Lineage: Bacteria
Description: partial 16S ribosomal RNA
Rfam family: Bacterial small subunit ribosomal RNA
Source: RNAcentral